RNAcentral lists this ribosomal RNA (508 nucleotides) under uncultured bacterium. RNAcentral describes it as "bacterial SSU rRNA". It matches the Rfam family "Bacterial small subunit ribosomal RNA", at positions 29 to 521 of the family's 1533-position model. The record is from RNAcentral.
AUUGAACGCUGGCGGCAUGCUUUACACAUGCAAGUCGAGCGGCAGCGCGGGGGCAACCCUGGCGGCGAGCGGCGGACGGGUGAGUAAUAGAUAGGAACGCGUCCGGGAGUGGGGGAUAACUAGCCGAAAGGUUAGCUAAUACCGCAUAUUCUCUACGGAGGAAAGCAGGGGAACCGCGAGGUCCUUGCGCUCGCGGAGUGGCCUAUCUCCGAUUAGCUAGUUGGUGAGGUAAAGGCUUACCAAGGCGACGAUCGGUAGCUGGUCUGAGAGGAUGAUCAGCCACACUGGGGACUGAGAUACGGCCCAGACUCCUACGGGAGGCAGCAGUGGGGAAUUUUUGGACAAUGGGGGCAACCCUGAUCCAGCCAUGCCGCGUGCGGGAAGAAGGCCUUCGGGUUGUAAACCGGCUUUUAUCCGGAAAGAAGGGAGUGCAGGGCUAAUACCCUGCAUGACAGACGGCACCGGAGGAAUAAGCACCGGGCUAAACUACGUGCCAGCCAGCAGCCGC